Molecule: ribosomal RNA, 707 nt
Filed under: Lampyridae sp. UPOL RK0118
Lineage: Eukaryota; Metazoa; Arthropoda; Insecta; Coleoptera; Lampyridae
Description: eukaryotic LSU rRNA
Rfam family: Eukaryotic large subunit ribosomal RNA
Source: RNAcentral
GGAGUCCAACGUGCGCGCGAGUCAAUGGGCGCAUAAUAGAAACCCAAAGGCGGAGCGAAAGCGAAGGUCGGCAGGCGCGUUUCGGCGCGCCUUCCGACGGUUGGGAGGAUGGGCGACCGCACGUCUGUCGCCCCGCACUCCCGGGGCGUCUCGCCGAGGUAUCGGAGCGCGUUCGUCGGCGCGUCGCGGUUUCGGCCGCGCGCGCGUCGGCUCCCUUCGGUACCUGAGACGCACCCAUAGCGCGCACGCUGGGACCCGAAAGAUGGUGAACUAUGCCUGGUCAGGACGAAGUCAGGGGAAACCCUGAUGGAGGUCCGCAGCGAUUCUGACGUGCAAAUCGAUCGUCAGAACUGGGUAUAGGGGCGAAAGACCAAUCGAACCGUCUAGUAGCUGGUUCCCUCCGAAGUUUCCCUCAGGAUAGCUGGCGCUCGCAUCGAGAGAGUCUCAUGCGGUAAAGCGAAUGAUUAGAGCGAAUCGGGGUCGAAACGACCUCUACCUAUUCUCAAACUUUAAAUGUGUGAGAUCUCCGGCUUGCCCGAUUAACGAAGCCGCGAGAUCGGAUCUAGAGUGCCAAGUGGGCCAAUUUUGGUAAGCAGAACUGGCGCUGUGGGAUGAACCAAACGUUAAGUUAAAGCGCCCAAAUCGACGCUCAUGGGAAACCAUGAAAGGCGUUGGUAACUCAGGACAGCAGGACGGUGACCAUGGAA